RNAcentral lists this microRNA precursor (94 nucleotides) under Myotis lucifugus (little brown bat). Its description in RNAcentral is "microRNA 598 (ENSMLUG00000017911.1)". The stretch from base 11 to 90 matches the Rfam family "mir-598 microRNA precursor family". The record is from RNAcentral. Lineage: Eukaryota; Metazoa; Chordata; Mammalia; Chiroptera; Vespertilionidae.
UGAUGAUGCUGCUGAUGCUGGUGGUGACGCCGAUGGUGCGAGCUGGAAAUGGGGUGCUACGUCAUCGUUGUCAUCAUCAUCAUCAUCAUCUGAG